RNAcentral lists this long non-coding RNA (1838 nucleotides) under Cricetulus griseus (Chinese hamster). Its description in RNAcentral is "lncRNA (ENSCGRG00000024827.1)". Lineage: Eukaryota; Metazoa; Chordata; Mammalia; Rodentia; Cricetidae. The record is from RNAcentral.
CGGCUCCCUUCUUUGGCUAGCACCCCCCCCCCAUCACAGGCAGCUGGCUGUAUUUACAGAGGAACAGUCUAAGGAACCCCCAAUAGUCUAUUGGCUGCCUUUUACUGAGUACCUGACCAAACCAUGUACAACUCACUUCUCUAUAGGAAACAGGCCCUAGUGUCACAAAUCCCACUUGAAAAUGACUCUCUGAGGCUGACUUGGGGGUCUCUUGCUUGUUGGUCAUUUCCUGCCAUCCCAGCCAGCCAGCUCUAUUUGCUGCAAAUUGGUGAUGAGGCAAGGUGGCUGGGAGGCGCACCUCCCCGAGGGAGUUGUGUUGUUUUUAUAACCGGUGCCAGGUCUGAGUGCAGGGUGAGUAAGCGCCUCUUCCUCCUUUGCUCCGGCUGGUCUUCCACACCAAGUCUGCCUCUUGCACUGUUCCAGACAUGGUGGGGAGGAAGGGCUGCCUGGCUCUCGUGCUUCCUAGAUUUGGGACCCCAAACUCAAGAAGGCAACAGAAGUUGCUGCCACCUAAUAGGGGAAUUUCCCCAGCGAGCUGUCUUAUUCAAUUGUCUCUUUUUCCUUGUCGAUACCCAUGGCCCAUCCUGCAACCCACCUCCUUUCCCUGGUGACUUCAUCCUCAUGAGAACUCACUGGAAAGGGUCCCAUGCACCACUCCUGGUGAGUAUGGAGCUUCUGAGGACAGUGUCUAAAAGUUUGCCCAAGACACCUGGCUAAGUAUCAGGGCCAGGAAUUCUUUCCUUCCUGCCAUGCAGCUACUUGGGCUUCUGUAGGGAAACUGGAGUGCACAAUUUAAAACCUCACUUGUCUUAGUGGUGGUUGUUUUGGUUUAGAAACUGCUGGGUUAGAUAAAUAAGAGUUUAACCUGAGGUUCUUGUCUGUGUUUAAGAUCCCUACAUAAACACCUGAGUGGAAACCAGAUAAACCCUGGGAAGCUGUUGUGGGCUUUGGGAAGCCUCUUACAAAGUGAGAAAAGAUAAGUUCAGGGCUAGCCAGAAAGUAGAUGUUUUUGCAUGUGAGAGGCUAGAAUAUAUAGUGUUGAAUUCCUUUUCCAACUUACUUAGAACUAGUUCUAUUGACAGGUAAUUUACAAUCUGAAAUGUUUGUACCUUCGUCCUUACAAAUGAAUAUCUAUCUACCCAUCUGUGUAGUCUGAUCACUGACAAGAUGUAGACCAUGUUCAUCUCCCCAGAUGGACGCCUAAGGUGUCCACGGUCCUCAUUCAUUUCACCCUAGAAAUACUUUUACCUAGUCUAGAAGAGCAGCCUCUUCUUCUUUCUCCUCUUCUCAAAUGCUGGGAGUCUUGGUAUGUGCCACCAUGUGUGGUCUAUGAGGUUCUUGGGAUUGAACCAGUCUUGGUGGAUGUAGGUAAGCACUCUAGCAUCCCAGCCACGCCCUCAGUCUCUCUGAACUUCGUUAAAUGAAAUAGCACUCUCCUGUCUUGUGUGUUUUCCACUCACCCUUCAUUAUUUCUGAACUUCAAUCAUGUGUUUGUUCAUAGUUCAUUGUUGUUCAUUCUCCUAUUGAUGAACAUGAGACCCGUGUCCAGUUUGGGGCAAUUAUGAAUAUUAGUGAACAAAUCUUUUAUAGAUACAUGUUUUCAUUUCUCUUAAGUAAAUACCUGCAAAUGAAAUGGGGAACCAUGGGGCAGAUAUAGGUUUGACUAUAAGAAACUUCAAUUCCAUCUUCUGAAGUGCUCAGAUCACUUUAUAAACUAGUUUCUGUUUUCCCACAAUCUUUUCAACUAUUGGCAGUUGUAUUCCUUUUCUGUUACUGUAAAGAAUUCUACCACAGACAGGGUGUCUGAAAGCAGCAGACAUGUGCAAGCAAGCUAACAC